UUGGAGGGCAGUCUGGUGCCAGCAGCCGCGGUAAUUCCAGCUCCAAUAGCGUAUAUUAAAGUUGUUGCAGUUAAAAAGCUCGUAGUUGAAUUUCGGGAUCAAAUUGUCGGUCGUGCCUCGGUACGCACUGGUAUUAUUGGUUCCUACCUUCUGAAGAACCGCGAUGUCAUUAAUUUGGUGUCGUGGGGAAUCAGGACUGUUACUUUGAAAAAAUUAGAGUGUUUAAAGCAGGCUUACGCUUGAAUACAUUAGCAUGGAAUAAUGAAACAGGACGUUUGAUUCUAUUUUGUUGGUUUCUAGGAUUGACGUAAUGAUUAAUAGGGAUAGUUGGGGGCAUUAGUAUUCAAUUGUCAGAGGUGAAAUUCUUGGAUUUAUUGAAGACUAACUACUGCGAAAGCAUUUGCCAAGGAUGUUUUCAUUAAUCAAGAACGAAAGUUAGGGGAUCGAAGACGAUCAGAUACCGUCGUAGUCUUAACCAUAAACUAUGCCGACUAGGGAUCGGAUGAUGUUAAUUUUUUAAUGACUCAUUCGGCGCCUUACGGGAAAC
RNAcentral lists this ribosomal RNA (547 nucleotides) under uncultured Glomeromycotina. RNAcentral's name for it is "SSU rRNA". It matches the Rfam family "Eukaryotic small subunit ribosomal RNA", at positions 548 to 1098 of the family's 1831-position model. Lineage: Eukaryota; Fungi; Glomeromycota. The record is from RNAcentral.